RNAcentral lists this ribosomal RNA (354 nucleotides) under Epinephelus marginatus (dusky grouper). RNAcentral's name for it is "partial 12S ribosomal RNA". It matches the Rfam family "Bacterial small subunit ribosomal RNA", at positions 946 to 1527 of the family's 1533-position model. Lineage: Eukaryota; Metazoa; Chordata; Actinopteri; Perciformes; Serranidae. The record is from RNAcentral.
UAAAACCGAUAACCCCCGUUCAACCUCACCUUUCCUUGUUCUCCCCGCCUAUAUACCGCCGUCGUCAGCUUACCCUAUGAAGGUCCUUUAGUAAGCACAAUUGGUACAACCCAAAACGUCAGGUCGAGGUGUAGCGUAUGGAAAGGGAAGAAAUGGGCUACCACGAAUAAUACACUGAAACGUAUAUCUGAAGGAGGAUUUAGCAGUAAGCAGAAAAUAGAGCGUUCUGCUGAAAGGCCCUGAAGCGCGCACACACCGCCCGUCACUCUCCCCAAAUAUACCCUAAAAACUUUACAUCAAAGGGGAGGCAAGUCGUAACAUGGUAAGUGUACCGGAAGGUGCACUUGGCAAAAC